AUAUCAGUCAUGCAUAGCAUAUCAAUAAGCGGAGGAAAAGAAACUAACAAGGAUUCCCUUAGUAACGGCGAGUGAAGCGGGAAGAGCUCAAAUUUGAAAUCUUCAAGGUUUUACCUUGACGAAUUGUAGUUUAAAGAAGUGUUUUCUGUUGAAGUUUUGGUAAAAGUUCUUUGGAAUAGGACAUCAUAGAGGGUGAGAAUCCCGUAUUUGACCAUUACUUUCAGCUUUGUGAUACACUUUCAAAGAGUCGGAUUGUUUGGGAAUGCAGUCCAAAAUGGGUGGUAAAUUUCAUCUAAAGCUAAAUAUUGGCGAGAGACCGAUAGCGAACAAGUACCGUGAGGGAAAGAUGAAAAGAACUUUGAAAAGAGAGUUAAACAGUACGUGAAAUUGUCAAAAGGGAAGCGUUUGACACCAGUGUUGUUUUCUCGAAAAUCAAUUAAAAAGAGUUGGAUUUUGUGUUGUAUUGACUUUAUCAGCUUUCUUCACUCUUUUCCAGCUUUUUUUAAUGCACUUUUCGUUUAACAAGUCAACAUCAGUUUCUUUUGUUGUAAAAAGGUCAUUGGAAGGUGGCUUUCUCUUCGGAGAAAGUGCUUAUAGCCUUUGACUCAUGCAAUCGGAGAGACUGAGGUCUGCAGCGUAGAUCCUUCGGGGUUAGAUACAUUUGUGCUAAGUUAUAGCUUUUCAUAGACAACUUGUUGACUAUGUUUAGUCUUGUAGCUUACUCGCUUAUGCUAUUUUACCUACGCUUAGGAUGUUGAACUCUAUCACACACAG
RNAcentral lists this ribosomal RNA (774 nucleotides) under uncultured Neocallimastigales. RNAcentral's name for it is "partial large subunit ribosomal RNA". It matches the Rfam family "Eukaryotic large subunit ribosomal RNA", at positions 22 to 621 of the family's 3401-position model. The record is from RNAcentral. Lineage: Eukaryota; Fungi; Neocallimastigomycota; Neocallimastigomycetes; Neocallimastigales.